AGAGUUUGAUCCUGGCUCAGAACGAACGCUGGCGGCAGGCCUAACACAUGCAAGUCGAACGCCCCGCAAGGGGAGUGGCAGACGGGUGAGUAACACGUGGGAACGUACCCUUCGGUUCGGAAUAACUCAGGGAAACUUGAGCUAAUACCGGAUACGUCCGAGAGGAGAAAGAUUUAUCGCCGAAGGAUCGGCCCGCGUCUGAUUAGCUUGUUGGUGAGGUAACGGCUCACCAAGGCGACGGUCAGUAGCUGGUCUGAGAGGAUGAUCAGCCACACUGGGACUGAGACACGGCCCAGACUCCUACGGGAGGCAGCAGUGGGGAAUAUUGGACAAUGGGCGCAAGCCUGAUCCAGCCAUGCCGCGUGAGUGAUGAAGGCCCUAGGGUUGUAAAGCUCUUUUACCUGGGAAGAUAAUGACUGUACCAGGAGAAUAAGCCCCGGCUAACUUCGUGCCAGCAGUCGCGGUAAUACGAAGGGGGCUAGCGUUGUUCGGAAUCACUGGGCGUAAAGCGCACGUAGGCGGAUUUUUAAGUCAGGGGUGAAAUCCCGGGGC
Molecule: ribosomal RNA, 552 nt
Filed under: uncultured bacterium
Lineage: Bacteria
Description: bacterial SSU rRNA
Rfam family: Bacterial small subunit ribosomal RNA
Source: RNAcentral